Molecule: ribosomal RNA, 465 nt
Filed under: uncultured bacterium
Lineage: Bacteria
Description: partial 16S ribosomal RNA
Rfam family: Bacterial small subunit ribosomal RNA
Source: RNAcentral
GACGAACGCUGGCGGCGUGCUUAACACAUGCAAGUCGAACGGAAAGGCCCUGCUUGCAGGGUACUCGAGUGGCGAACGGGUGAGUAACACGUGGGUGAUCUGCCCUGCACUUCGGGAUAAGCCUGGGAAACUGGGUCUAAUACCGGAUAGGAGCCAUUUUUAGUGUGAUGGUUGGAAAGUUUUUUCGGUGUAGGAUGAGCUCGCGGCCUAUCAGCUUGUUGGUGGGGUAAUGGCCUACCAAGGCGGCGACGGGUAGCCGGCCUGAGAGGGUGGACGGGCACAUUGGGACUGGGGAUCGGGCCAGAACCCUACGGGGGGCAGGAGGGGGGAAUAUUGCACAAUGGGCGCGAGCCUGAUGCAGCGACGGCGCGUGGGGGAUGACGGCCUUCGGGUUGUAAACUCCUUUCGCUAGGGACGAAGCUUUUUGUGACGGUACCUAGAUAAGAAGCACCGGCUAACUACGUG